GUGAGGAAUAUUGGUCAAUGGGCGGGAGCCUGAACCGGCCAAGUCGCGUGAAGGAAGAAGGAUCUAUGGUUCGUAAACUUCUUUUGCAGGGGAAUAAAGUGCAGGACGUGUCCUGUUUUGUAUGUACCCUGAGAAUAAGGAUCGGCUAACUCCGUGCCAGCAGCCGCGGUAAUACGGAGGAUCCGAGCGUUAUCCGGAUUUAUUGGGUUUAAAGGGUGCGUAGGUGGUUUGAUAAGUCAGCGGUGAAAGUUUGCAGCUUAACUGUAAAAAUGCCGUUGAAACUGUCGGACUUGAGUGUAAAUGAGGUAGGCGGAAUGCGUGGUGUAGCGGUGAAAUGCAUAGAUAUCACGCAGAACUCCGAUUGCGAAGGCAGCUUACUAAGCUACAACUGACACUGAAGCACGAAAGCGUGGGGAUCAAACAGGAUUAGAAACCCUGGUAGUCC
Molecule: ribosomal RNA, 445 nt
Filed under: uncultured bacterium
Lineage: Bacteria
Description: partial 16S ribosomal RNA
Rfam family: Bacterial small subunit ribosomal RNA
Source: RNAcentral